GAAUUUUAUAUAAAUUUAAGAAUAGAUUUAAUAUAAUAUUAUUGAAUUUAUAUUUUAUUGGGAGGAUAGUUAAAUUAUAUAAACUUUAGUAGUAUAAGUCCAUUUAUUUAUGAAUUAUAAAUUAUAGAGUGAUAAAAGUUUUAAGUAGAAUUAAUUACCUUAGGGAUAACAGCGUUAUAUUUUUAGAGAGAUCUUAUUGAUAAAAAUGAUUGC
This 213-nucleotide ribosomal RNA is filed under the name Pheidole sagax. RNAcentral's name for it is "partial large subunit ribosomal RNA". The record is from RNAcentral. Lineage: Eukaryota; Metazoa; Arthropoda; Insecta; Hymenoptera; Formicidae.